This 165-nucleotide non-coding RNA is filed under the name uncultured Agathobacter sp. Lineage: Bacteria; Bacillati; Bacillota; Clostridia; Lachnospirales; Lachnospiraceae. The record is from RNAcentral.
AGCGAAGCUGCUUAGAUAAUGUAGAAUUAUGCUUUGAAAUACAGAAAUGCCCCACCAUGGACGGUGGGGCAAGGCGUUAUGCGCCAUGGACGGCGCAUAAAAGCCGGUUUCGUCCAGCUACAAGAAACUAUAAGCAUAAUUCGUACAGUAUCUUAGCAGCGCAGC